CGCUAUCACUCCUACGGGAGGCAGCAGUGGGGAAUAUUGCACAAUGGGGGAAACCCCUGAUGCAGCCAUGCCGCGUGUGUGAAGAAGGCCUUCGGGUUGUAAAGCACUUUCAGUCGUGAGGAAGGUAGUGUAGUUAACACCUGCAUUAUUUGACGUUACCUACAGAAGAAGCACCGGCUAACUCCGUGCCAGCAGCCGCGGUAAUACGGAGGGUGCGAGCGUUAAUCGGAAUUACUGGGCGUAAAGCGCAUGCAGGCGGCCUGUUAAGUCAGAUGUGAAAGCCCGGGGCUUAACCUCGGAAUUGCAUUUGAAACUGGCAGGCUAGAGUCUUGUAGAGGGGGUAGAAUUUCAGGUGUAGCGGUGAAAAUGCGUAGAGAUCUGAAGGAAUACCAGUGGCGAAGGCGGCCCCCUGGACAAAGACUGACGCUCAGAUGCGAAAAGCGUGGGGAGCAAACAGGAUUAGAUACCCUGGUAG
RNAcentral lists this ribosomal RNA (475 nucleotides) under uncultured bacterium. RNAcentral's name for it is "bacterial SSU rRNA". It matches the Rfam family "Bacterial small subunit ribosomal RNA", at positions 328 to 793 of the family's 1533-position model. The record is from RNAcentral.